GAAAGAUUUCAUACAUUCUGAACGCUGAGGCCAAAGAAGGUGCUGUUUGUCUCUAUUGGAUUCUACACUCCACACUGAAACGAUGGAACGAGCAACAGGGGAAGACUGUAAGGAUUGGCUGUGGCCACUUUGGUUCGCAUGAAGAUCAAAAUUCAGAGAUGUCAUACUUGAAGUUGAAGAGUCUUCACCAAACUGAACAUAUUCCACAUUUUCAAAAAUGUCCCC
Molecule: long non-coding RNA, 225 nt
Filed under: Gallus gallus (chicken)
Lineage: Eukaryota; Metazoa; Chordata; Aves; Galliformes; Phasianidae
Source: RNAcentral